Molecule: ribosomal RNA, 444 nt
Filed under: uncultured bacterium
Lineage: Bacteria
Description: bacterial SSU rRNA
Rfam family: Bacterial small subunit ribosomal RNA
Source: RNAcentral
AACGCGAAGAACCUUACCAACCUUUGACAUGUCCAGUAUGGGUUUGGGAGACCAGACCCUUCAGUUCGGCUGGCUGGAACACAGGUGCUGCAUGGCUGUCGUCAGCUCGUGUCGUGAGAUGUUGGGUUAAGUCCCGCAACGAGCGCAACCCUCAUCUUCAGUUGCCCCCGGGUUAGGCCGGGCACUCUGAAGAAACCGCCGGUGACAAGCCGGAGGAAGGCGGGGAUGACGUCAAGUCCUCAUGGCCCUUACAGGUUGGGCUACACACGUACUACAAUGGUGGUGACAGUGGGCUGCGAAGUCGCGAGACGGAGCCAAUCCCCAAAAGCCAUCUCAGUUCAGAUUGCACUCUGCAACUCGAGUGCAUGAAGUUGGAAUCGCUAGUAAUCGCAGAUCAGCACGCUGCGGUGAAUACGUUCCCGGGCCUUGUACACACCGCUAGUC